This 472-nucleotide long non-coding RNA is filed under the name Homo sapiens (human). RNAcentral's name for it is "HSALNT0356825". The record is from RNAcentral. Lineage: Eukaryota; Metazoa; Chordata; Mammalia; Primates; Hominidae.
UCUUAGGUGCAAAGCAAAUUUGGAGAAACGGUUUCUAAGCACCAUCACCAACAAUGUCAGCAAUAAGUAGAUUUUGAAGUUUGUUCACUUCCACAAAGUCCAAAGUUCUAACAAGUGGAGAAACUAACAACCCGUGGAAGAAAAUUCCUAGAAUCCUGGGAUCAAGUCAAAACACCUGAUGGUUUUAGAGGACAGAAUUUUUGGAGAGAAAAACACAACCAGAUGACUCUCUGCACCCCUUUCCCAGGCCAUGGGCACCUGCCUGAUUCCUAUGGUCAUGAAGGAACAUUUUUCUGAUGUGGCCAUAUUCAUGGUGUCAGUGCAAUCUCAUCAGAGAUGAGGCUCCCCACUCAAGCUGCCAUGUGACUUGACAGCUCUUCAUACCGUUCGCUCACCAGAGUGGUGUCCAGUUUCAGGAGCACGGAAGAAAACAGUCGGAGUGCAGUGGCACAAUCAUAGCUCACUGCAGCCU